AGGAUGAACGCUGGCGGCGUGCCUAACACAUGCAAGUCGAACGUCCUGUCUCGCAAGAGGCAGGGAGUGGCGGACGGGUGAGUACCACGUGGGUUAUCUACCGUGAGGUGAGGAAUACCGGCGAGAAAUCGCCGACAAGACCGCAUAGCCUCGGUGCAAGCCGAGGAAAGCUUUCUCGAGAGAGGGAGCGCCACACGAGGAGCCUGCGCCCGAUUAGCUAGCUGGUGGAGUAACGGUUCACCAGGGCGACGAUCGGUAGCUGGUCUGAGAGGACGAUCAGGCCACACUGGGAUUGAGAACGGCCCAGACUCCUACGGGGGGCAGCAGUGAGGAAUUUUCCGCAAUGGACGAAAGUCUGACGGAGCAACGCCGCGUGCAGGAGGAAGGUUUUCGGAUCGUAAACUGCUUUUCUCGGGGACGAGCAAGGACGGUACCCGAGGAAGAGCCCCGGCUAACUACGCGCCAGCAGCCGCGGUAA
Molecule: ribosomal RNA, 478 nt
Filed under: uncultured bacterium
Lineage: Bacteria
Description: SSU rRNA
Rfam family: Bacterial small subunit ribosomal RNA
Source: RNAcentral